Neogale vison (American mink) is the source of this 641-nucleotide long non-coding RNA. RefSeq lists it as uncharacterized. The record is from RefSeq and is a predicted model, not a curated record. The transcript has 3 exons. Lineage: Eukaryota; Metazoa; Chordata; Mammalia; Carnivora; Mustelidae.
UCUUUUUUUCUGGAGUCCAGUAUAGGGGCAUGGUCCAAGGAGCCGCACCUGGCAUGGUUGCCUCUGUGAGAACAGGACCAUGAUGGGACUAGGAAGUCCUUGGUUCUGCAAAGUCUGUAAAUCUUUCUGAGCCAGAGCACUGAAGCUCUGUGAACUUCAGGGGAGUCAGGGGCUUCUGGGAAGAAGCAUGUCAAAAAGGCAACAGAGACUCAUUUACCCUGGAGACAGAGACGCUGAGGGGACUUUGGGGAGAGUGAACCAACCCCACCAGAGGGCCUGUUCGGUCCCCUCCCUGUCAUCAAAGGCACUCCUCUGCAAGAGGGAAUGAAGUUAUCAAACACCAUACUUGGAGAUCUAUUCAUCACGGAAAAAGAAGCGCAAAGAUUGUCAAUAGAACAGUCCCAAAGGGCCAUCCAUUUGACUCAUUUAUUAUUUUCCUUUGCUAGUCACCCAGAUUAUUCAAUGUCCCACAAAUUGAAAGUUUGGAGUUCUAUUGACUCUCACUUUGGUUCACUAACUAUGGAAAAGUUGUCUUGCCUCAUUUGACCCCUGGAUAAAAUCCUUUACAUCCAGAGAGCACUUUCCAGCCCUCCCAGCAUCUCUGAAACGAACCCUUAGCAAAGUAACCUGAAUUAAGCCUG